ACGUCACAAACUCACAGAAGUCGUCAGACUGGAUUCUUCCUGUUGAUCAAAAUCCCAACACUCCCUGGUGUUAAAGACGCGUUCCCUCUGCCUCUUUCAGCUGUUUCAAACAAGCAAAUGAACAGAGCAUGGAUCAGAGAAAACACAGAGAGGACGGAGCCCCUCCCUCUAAAACCACUCACCCCCCCAAAGCUCAGAGACCUGCUCCUGGGACCAGCGCCCACUCAUUCAAGAGUGACGACUCUAUGGAACAUGGGAUU
This is a long non-coding RNA of Boleophthalmus pectinirostris (great blue-spotted mudskipper), 260 nucleotides long. RefSeq lists it as uncharacterized. The transcript is spliced from 3 exons. Lineage: Eukaryota; Metazoa; Chordata; Actinopteri; Gobiiformes; Gobiidae. The record is from RefSeq and is a predicted model, not a curated record.